Molecule: unclassified non-coding RNA, 258 nt
Filed under: Hevea brasiliensis (rubber tree)
Lineage: Eukaryota; Viridiplantae; Streptophyta; Magnoliopsida; Malpighiales; Euphorbiaceae
Source: RNAcentral
GAUUAAGUGAAGGGUCAACUUUUUCUUCCAUUUCUGAUUGCGCUGUCUCCUCUCGCUUUCGCUUCUCCCCCCGGUUAUCGCCACCGUUGGAGCCCGUUGAUUCAGGAUUGGAGAGUUGAGGCUGUUCAUGUUCAUGGUUUUGAAUAGGUGAAUCGUUGGGGCUCAUUGCUUGAGAGAUUACAGUGAAGGGGUUUAGGAUUUCAGUUGCAGAGAGUUCCUUUUCUGAAUACGAGGGCCUCCACCACAUGAACAUUUAUU